RNAcentral lists this ribosomal RNA (122 nucleotides) under Pteropus alecto (black flying fox). RNAcentral also lists the same sequence under 1 other name. The record is from RNAcentral. Lineage: Eukaryota; Metazoa; Chordata; Mammalia; Chiroptera; Pteropodidae.
AUCUACAGCCAUGCUGCUACCCUGAACAAGCCUGAUCCCGUCUGAUCUCGGAAGCUAAGCAGGGUCGGGCCUGGUUAGUACUUGGAUGGGAGACCACCUAGGAAGACCAGGUGCUGUAGCUG